GAGCCACCGCGACGGGCCGCCAUCCCUACCGUUUACAGACAGCGUCCAUCUCACUGGUGGGUCCCUAUGCAGUCCAACUUGCUCCACGUCUGAAUGUCAGUCCUAGAUACAAAGCAGAGAAGUUUAAAGUAGGGAAUGGCUUCUUUUUUCCUUUUACAAAACAUAAUGAUGGUAAGACACAAUAUUGGAGCUGGGAUGAAGGAGAAGUAGAUAUAAAGAUAUGGAGGGGCAUCCCUUAAGGGAUAUAAAUAGUUUCACAGAUGAAAUGCCUAAAGGAGAGAGAGGAGAGACAGAUGAGGAGACAAUUAUCUCAAAGGAGGAAAAUGGUCAAAAGGCAAAGAAUAAUGUGUGUGAACUCUCCGGUGCAUGUAGCCUAAGGAGAUUUGCUAGUUUGAGUCCUGGGAGAUGAGAUGGGGAAGAUGGGCCCAAGCUGCAACAUGAAGGUCCAUGAUGAACAGUUGGCAUCUCCUACAGUGCCUGCCACUUGGUAAUGUUCAAUGCAGCCAAGGGAGCUAAGGUAAUGAACAAAACAGAGAAGUUCCUACCCUCCCUGAUGUUCAUUCUAGCAAAUGGAGACAGAUGAUAGAAACUGCACAUCAUUGAGCAAGAGGGACACCAUGGAUAAUGGAAAGAUCUACGGCAAGGCUGGCUGUCUGCCCUGUCUAAGGAGGACGUACUGGACCAUCCUGCUCUGCACAUCCAGAUGUGUCCAUGAAUACAUCCAUAAAACGAUGGCCUGUGGAAUCCUAUAGGAAAAUGAUCCAGAGCCUGGGCGGUCAGAAGGAACAAACACUUGAUUUACAAAAUAAAUCUUCUAUGUUUAUGUUUUAAAGACACACAGAGGAAAAA
This is a long non-coding RNA of Homo sapiens (human), 849 nucleotides long. Ensembl annotates it as long intergenic non-protein coding RNA 1580. Lineage: Eukaryota; Metazoa; Chordata; Mammalia; Primates; Hominidae. The record is from Ensembl.